RNAcentral lists this ribosomal RNA (439 nucleotides) under uncultured bacterium. RNAcentral's name for it is "partial 16S ribosomal RNA". It matches the Rfam family "Bacterial small subunit ribosomal RNA", at positions 339 to 795 of the family's 1533-position model. The record is from RNAcentral.
CUACGGGUCGCUGCAGUGAGGAAUAUUGCACAAUGGGGGGAACCCUGAUGCAGCAACGCCGCGUGGAGGAUGACGCAUUUCGGUGUGUAAACUCCUUUUAUAUGUCAAGAAAAUGACGGUAGCAUAUGAAUAAGCACCGGCUAACUCCGUGCCAGCAGCCACGGUAAUACGGAGGGUGCAAGCGUUACUCGGAAUCACUGGGCGUAAAGGACGCGUAGGCGGGUUGGAAAGUCAGGUGUGAAAUCCUACAGCUUAACUGUAGAACUGCACUUGAAACUUCUAAUCUAGAGUAUGGGAGGGGGAGAUGGAAUUAGUGGUGUUGGGGUAAAAUCCGUAGAUAUCACUAGGAAUACCUAAAGCGAAGGCGAUCUCCUGGAACAUUACUGACGCUAAGGCGUGAAAGCGUGGGGAGCAAACAGGAUUAGAUACCCUAGUAGUC